RNAcentral lists this ribosomal RNA (479 nucleotides) under uncultured bacterium. Its description in RNAcentral is "partial 16S ribosomal RNA". It matches the Rfam family "Bacterial small subunit ribosomal RNA", at positions 28 to 507 of the family's 1533-position model. The record is from RNAcentral.
GAUGAACGCUGGCGGCGUGCUUAACACAUGCAAGUCGAGCGAAGCACUUUGGAAAGAUUCUUCGGAUGAUUUCCUUUGUGACUGAGCGGCGGACGGGUGAGUAACGCGUGGGUAACCUGCCUCAUACAGGGGGAUAACAGUUAGAAAUGACUGCUAAUACCGCAUAAGACCACGGUACCGCAUGGUACAGUGGUAAAAACUCCGGUGGUAUGAGAUGGACCCGCGUCUGAUUAGGUAGUUGGUGGGGUAACGGCCUACCAAGCCGACGAUCAGUAGCCGACAUGAGAGGGUGACCGGCCACAUUGGGACUGAGACACGGCCCAGACUCCUACGGGAGGCAGCAGUGGGGAAUAUUGCACAAUGGAGGAAACUCUGAUGCAGCGACGCCGCGUGAAGGAUGAAGUAUUUCGGUAUGUAAACUUCUAUCAGCAGGGAAGAAAAUGACGGUACCUGACUAAGAAGCCCCGGCUAACUACGUG